This 416-nucleotide ribosomal RNA is filed under the name uncultured bacterium. RNAcentral describes it as "bacterial SSU rRNA". It matches the Rfam family "Bacterial small subunit ribosomal RNA", at positions 335 to 742 of the family's 1533-position model. The record is from RNAcentral.
ACUCCUACGGGAGGCAGCAGUGGGGAAUAUUGCACAAUGGGGGAAACCCCUGAUGCAGCCAUGCCGCGUGUGUGAAGAAGGCCUUCGGGUUGUAAAGCACUUUCAGUAGGGAGGAAGGUAGUGUAGUUAACACCUGCACUAUUUGACGUUACCUACAGAAGAAGCACCGGCUAACUCCGUGCCAGCAGCCGCGGUAAUACGGAGGGUGCGAGCGUUAAUCGGAAUUACUGGGCGUAAAGCGCAUGCAGGCGGCCUGUUAAGUCAGAUGUGAAAGCCCGGGGCUUAACCUCGGAAUUGCAUUUGAAACUGGCAGGCUAGAGUCUUGUAGAGGGGGGUAGAAUUUCAGGUGUAGCGGUGAAAUGCGUAGAGAUCUGAAGGAAUACCAGUGGCGAAGGCGGCCCCCUGGACAAAGACUG